Molecule: ribosomal RNA, 253 nt
Filed under: uncultured bacterium
Lineage: Bacteria
Description: partial 16S ribosomal RNA
Rfam family: Bacterial small subunit ribosomal RNA
Source: RNAcentral
UACGGAGGGGGCUAGCGUUGUUCGGAAUUACUGGGCGUAAAGCGCACGUAGGCGGCUAUUUAAGUCAGAGGUGAAAGCCUGGAGCUCAACUCCAGAACUGCCUUUGAGACUGGAUAGCUAGAAUCUUGGAGAGGCGGGUGGAAUUCCGAGUGUAGAGGUGAAAUUCGUAGAUAUUGGGAAGAACACCGGUGGCGAAGGCGGCUCACUGGCUCGUAACUGACGCUCAGGCGCGACAGCGUGGGGAUCAAACAGG